GACGAACGCUGGCGGCAUGCUUAACACAUGCAAGUCGAACGGAAGGACCCUGCUUUUGUUUGGUUCUCGAGUGGCGCAGGGGUGAGUAACACAUGAAUAACCUGCCCUUGACUUUAUGAUAACUUCAAGAGACUGGGGCUAAUACCGGAUAUGAGCUCCUGCAGCAUGGGGGGGUUUGGAAAAUUUCGGCGGUGGGGGAUGGACUCGCGGCUUAUCAGCUUGUUGGUGGGGUAGUGGCUUACCAAGGCUUUGACGGGUAGCCGGCCUGAGAGGGUGACCGGACACAUGGGGACUGAGAUACGGCACAGACUCCUACGGGAGGCAGCAGUGGGGAAUAUUGCACAAUGGGCGGAAGCCUGAUGCAGCAACGCCGCGUGCGGGAUGACGGCCUUCGGGUUGUAAACCGCUUUCGCCUGUGACGAAGCGUGAGUGACGGUAAUGGGUAAAGAAGCACCGGCUAACUACGUG
This 468-nucleotide ribosomal RNA is filed under the name uncultured bacterium. RNAcentral describes it as "partial 16S ribosomal RNA". It matches the Rfam family "Bacterial small subunit ribosomal RNA", at positions 28 to 507 of the family's 1533-position model. The record is from RNAcentral.